This 331-nucleotide ribosomal RNA is filed under the name uncultured eukaryote. RNAcentral's name for it is "partial 18S ribosomal RNA". It matches the Rfam family "Eukaryotic small subunit ribosomal RNA", at positions 1470 to 1796 of the family's 1831-position model. The record is from RNAcentral.
CCCUUAGAUGUUCUGGGCCGCACGCGCGCUACACUGACGAAUUCAACGAGUUUAUAACCUUUGCUGGGAGGCAUGGGUAAUCUUGUGAACGUUCGUCGUGAUGGGGAUAGAUUAUUGCAAUUGUUAAUCUUCAACGAGGAAUUCCUAGUAAACGCAAGUCAUCAGCUUGCAUUGAUUACGUCCCUGCCCUUUGUACACACCGCCCGUCGCACCUACCGAUUGAAUGGUCCGGUGAAUUCUUCGGACUGCGGCUUUGACUCGAUUUCGGUCGAGGCGUUGCUGCGGGAAGUUGAUUAAACCUUACCAUUUAGAGGAAGGUGAAGUCGUAACA